AGACCCGAAACCCGGUGAUCUAGCCAUGGGCAGGUUGAAGGUUGGGUAACACUAACUGGAGGACCGAACCGACUAAUGUUGAAAAAUUAGCGGAUGACCUGUGGCUGGGGGUGAAAGGCCAAUCAAACCGGGAGAUAGCUGGUUCUCCCCGAAAGCUAUUUAGGUAGCGCCUCGUGAAUUCAUCUCCGGGGGUAGAGCACUGUUUCGGCUAGGGGGCCAUCCCGGCUUACCAACCCGAUGCAAACUGCGAAUACCGGAGAAUGUUAUCACGGGAGACACACGGCGGGUGCUAACGUCCGUCGUGAAGAGGGAAACAACCCAGACCGCCAGCUAAGGUCCCAAAGUCAUGGUUAAGUGGGAAACGAUGUGGGAAGGCCCAGACAGCCAGGAUGUUGGCUUAGAAGCAGCCAUCAUUUAAAGAAAGCGUAAUAGCUCACUGGUCGAGUCGGCCUGCGCGGAAGAUGUAACGGGGCUAAACCAUGCACCGAAGCUGCGGCAGCGAACGUAUCACCCAAGACAACUUUACGGAGUUGACGAUUGACGGAGCGAAGCGACGUCAAAGCGUUCAUUAAAGUCGAGUUGGCUUAGGGAUACGUUCGUUGGGUAGGGGAGCGUUCUGUAAGCCUGUGAAGGUGUGUCGUGAGGCAUGCUGGAGGUAUCAGAAGUGCGAAUGCUGACAUAAGUAACGAUAAAGCGGGUGAAAAGCCCGCUCGCCGGAAGACCAAGGGUUCCUGUCCAACGUUAAUCGGGGCAGGGUGAGUCGACCCCUAAGGCGAGGCCGAAAGGCGUAGUCGAUGGGAAACGGGUUAAUAUUCCCGUACUUGGUGUUACUGCGAAGGGGGGACGGAGAAGGCUAUGUUGGCCGGGCGACGGUUGUCCCGGUUUAAGCGUGUAGGUGUGUGUUCCAGGUAAAUCCGGUUCACUUUAACACUGAGGCGUGACGACGA
This 947-nucleotide ribosomal RNA is filed under the name Salmonella enterica. Its description in RNAcentral is "partial 23S ribosomal RNA". It matches the Rfam family "Bacterial large subunit ribosomal RNA", at positions 711 to 1572 of the family's 2925-position model. RNAcentral also lists the same sequence under 4 other names. Lineage: Bacteria; Pseudomonadati; Pseudomonadota; Gammaproteobacteria; Enterobacterales; Enterobacteriaceae. The record is from RNAcentral.